GAUGAAGAACGCAGCGAAAUGCGAUAAGUAAUGUGAAUUGCAGAAUUCAGUGAAUCAUCGAAUCUUUGAACGCACAUUGCGCCCGCCAGUAUUCUGGCGGGCAUGCCAGUUCGAGCGUCAUUUCAACCAUCAAGCCCCCGGCUUGUGUUGGGGACCUGCGGCUGCCGCAGGCCCUGAAAACCAGUGGCGGGCUCGCUGUCACACCGAGCGUAGUAGAUUUUCAUCUCGCUCAGGGCGUGCUGCGGGUUCCGGCCGUAAAAAGCCUUAUUUACCCAAGGUUGACCUCGGAUCAGGUAGGAAGACCCGCUGAACUUAAGCAUAUCAAUAAGCGGAGGA
RNAcentral lists this unclassified non-coding RNA (336 nucleotides) under soil metagenome. RNAcentral describes it as "partial contains 5.8S ribosomal RNA, internal transcribed spacer 2, and large subunit ribosomal RNA". The stretch from base 1 to 120 matches the Rfam family "5.8S ribosomal RNA", at positions 35 to 154 of the family's 154-position model. The record is from RNAcentral.